RNAcentral lists this ribosomal RNA (433 nucleotides) under uncultured bacterium. RNAcentral's name for it is "partial 16S ribosomal RNA". It matches the Rfam family "Bacterial small subunit ribosomal RNA", at positions 29 to 507 of the family's 1533-position model. The record is from RNAcentral.
AACGAACGCUGGCGGCAUGCCUAACACAUGCAAGUCGAACGAGACCUUCGGAUCUAGUGGCGCACGGGUGCGUAACGCGUGGGAACCUGCCUUUAGGUUCGGAAUAACUCAGAGAAAUUUGAGCUAAUACCGGAUGAUGUCUUCGGACCAAAGAUUUAUCGCCUUUAGAUGGGCCCGCGUUGGAUUAGCUAGUUGGUGGGGUAAAGGCCUACCAAGGCGACGAUCCAUAGCUGGUCUGAGAGGAUGAUCAGCCACACUGGGACUGAGACACGGCCCAGACUCCUACGGGAGGCAGCAGUGGGGAAUAUUGGACAAUGGGCGAAAGCCUGAUCCAGCAAUGCCGCGUGAGUGAUGAAGGCCUUAGGGUUGUAAAGCUCUUUUACCCGAGAUGAUAAUGACAGUAGCGGGAGAAUAAGCUCCGGCUAACUCCGUG